GACGAACCGUCCAAACGUUAUUCGGAAUCACUGGGCUUACAGAGUUCGUAGGCGGUCUGGAAAGUUGGGUGUGAAAUCCCUCGGCUCAACCGAGGAACUGCGCUCAAAACUACCCGACUCGAGGGAGAUAGAGGAAAGCGGAACUGAUGGUGGAGCGGUGAAAUGCGUUGAUAUCAUCAGGAACACCGGUGGCGAAGGCGGCUUUCUGGGUCUUACCUGACGCUGAGGAGCGAAAGCCAGGGGAGCAAACGGG
RNAcentral lists this ribosomal RNA (253 nucleotides) under uncultured bacterium. RNAcentral's name for it is "partial 16S ribosomal RNA". It matches the Rfam family "Bacterial small subunit ribosomal RNA", at positions 524 to 776 of the family's 1533-position model. The record is from RNAcentral.